RNAcentral lists this ribosomal RNA (591 nucleotides) under Salmonella enterica subsp. enterica serovar Lattenkamp. Its description in RNAcentral is "partial 23S ribosomal RNA". It matches the Rfam family "Bacterial large subunit ribosomal RNA", at positions 2213 to 2803 of the family's 2925-position model. The record is from RNAcentral. Lineage: Bacteria; Pseudomonadati; Pseudomonadota; Gammaproteobacteria; Enterobacterales; Enterobacteriaceae.
UUUGAUGUUCUAACGUGGACCCGUAAUCCGGGUUGCGGACAGUGUCUGGUGGGUAGUUUGACUGGGGCGGUCUCCUCCUAAAGAGUAACGGAGGAGCACGAAGGUUGGCUAAUCCUGGUCGGACAUCAGGAGGUUAGUGCAAUGGCAUAAGCCAGCUUGACUGCGAGCGUGACGGCGCGAGCAGGUGCGAAAGCAGGUCAUAGUGAUCCGGUGGUUCUGAAUGGAAGGGCCAUCGCUCAACGGAUAAAAGGUACUCCGGGGAUAACAGGCUGAUACCGCCCAAGAGUUCAUAUCGACGGCGGUGUUUGGCACCUCGAUGUCGGCUCAUCACAUCCUGGGGCUGAAGUAGGUCCCAAGGGUAUGGCUGUUCGCCAUUUAAAGUGGUACGCGAGCUGGGUUUAGAACGUCGUGAGACAGUUCGGUCCCUAUCUGCCGUGGGCGCUGGAGAACUGAGGGGGGCUGCUCCUAGUACGAGAGGACCGGAGUGGACGCAUCACUGGUGUUCGGGUUGUCAUGCCAAUGGCACUGCCCGGUAGCUAAAUGCGGAAGAGAUAAGUGCUGAAAGCAUCUAAGCACGAAACUUGCCCCGAG